Molecule: unclassified non-coding RNA, 278 nt
Filed under: uncultured fungus
Lineage: Eukaryota; Fungi
Description: partial contains small subunit ribosomal RNA, internal transcribed spacer 1, and 5.8S ribosomal RNA
Rfam family: Eukaryotic small subunit ribosomal RNA (bases 1-73)
Source: RNAcentral
GCAAACUUGGUCAUUUAGAGGAAGUAAAAGUCGUAACAAGGUCUCCGUUGGUGAACCAGCGGAGGGAUCAUUACCGAGUUUACAACUCCCAAACCCAUGUGAACAUACCUAUUGUUGCUUCGGCGGGAUUGCCCCGGGCGCCUCGUGUGCCCCGGAUCAGGCACCCGCCUAGGAACUUUAACUCUUGUUUUAUUCUGAAUCUUCUGAGUAGUUUUUACAAAUAAAUAAAAACUUUCAACAACGGAUCUCUUGGUUCUGGCAUCGAUGAAGAACGCAGC